UACGUAGGGGGCAAGCGUUGUCCGGAAUCAUUGGGCGUAAAGAGCGCGUAGGCGGCCCAGUAAGUCCGCUCUGAAAGUCAGGGGCUCAACCCCUGGAUGCGGGUGGAUACUGCUGGGCUAGAGUCCGGAAGAGGCGAGUGGAACUCCGAGUGUAGAGGUGAAAUUCGUAGAUAUUCGGAAGAACACCAGUGGCGAAGGCGGCUCACUGGCCCGGUACUGACGCUGAGGUGCGAAAGCGUGGGGAGCAAACAGG
This 253-nucleotide ribosomal RNA is filed under the name uncultured bacterium. Its description in RNAcentral is "partial 16S ribosomal RNA". It matches the Rfam family "Bacterial small subunit ribosomal RNA", at positions 524 to 776 of the family's 1533-position model. The record is from RNAcentral.